UACGGGGGGGGCAAGCGUUGUUCGGAAUUACUGGGCGUAAAGGGCGCGUAGGCGGCCUUCUAAGUCAGACGUGAAAUCCCUCGGCUCAACCGAGGAACUGCGUCUGAUACUGGAAGGCUUGAAUCCGGGAGAGGGAUGUGGAAUUCCAGGUGUAGCGGUGAAAUGCGUAGAUAUCGGAAGGAACAUCAGUGGCGAAGGCGACUUCCUGGACCAAUACUGACGCUCAGGUGCGAAAGCGUGGGGAGCAAACAGG
Molecule: ribosomal RNA, 253 nt
Filed under: uncultured prokaryote
Description: partial 16S ribosomal RNA
Rfam family: Bacterial small subunit ribosomal RNA
Source: RNAcentral